GCCAACCGGCUCGGUGUGUGACAGGUAAUCGUCUGGCAGGCUGGAACUUCCAGAGUCAUGUAGACCUGAAGCAGUGUGAUGUGGUCUAGAUCUGACACCCCUAUUAGCUCAACCACAGUCUUCACAGCUGCAGGCGUCUGCCCCUGCAUCUGCUACACCGGCCACGACGCGUGAUAGAGAGCUGCCAUGCACUUCACCUGCAUACCCACAUCCAUCGAAAAGGUGCUCCCAUGCCUUCCCCUAUCCUGGAAAUGUUUACACCUGUCACCU
Oncorhynchus masou masou (cherry salmon) is the source of this 270-nucleotide long non-coding RNA. RefSeq lists it as uncharacterized. The record is from RefSeq and is a predicted model, not a curated record. NCBI's taxonomy places the organism in Eukaryota, Metazoa, Chordata, Actinopteri, Salmoniformes, Salmonidae. The transcript has 3 exons.